AUUUAUAUAGUUUAAAAUAAAACCCCUUAUUUUCAAUAAGGAAAUAAGACAUAGUCUUUAUAAAUA
Molecule: transfer RNA, 66 nt
Filed under: Graphosoma rubrolineatum
Lineage: Eukaryota; Metazoa; Arthropoda; Insecta; Hemiptera; Pentatomidae
Description: tRNA-Glu
Source: RNAcentral